UGUAAGCGUAUACCAAAGUUGUUGCAGUUAAAACGCUCGUAGUCGGAAUUUGGCAGUUCCGGAUGUGUGCACGUCGUGUGCGCACUUCGCGGGGUUGCUUUUGUGGUCUUGCGUAGGAUGAGGCACUUUUAUUAGUGAACGUCCUCACGCAACCACUUUUUACUGUGAGAAAAUCAGAGUGCUCAAAGCAGGCAUUUGCCGUGAAUGUAUUAGCAUGGAAUAAUAGAAUAGGACUUGGUUCUAUUUUGUUGGUUUGUUGGGACUGAGUAAUGAUUAAGAGGGACAGUUGGGGGCAUUUGUAUUUCGGUGCUAGAGGUGAAAUUCUUAGAUUACCGAAAGACAAACUGCUGCGAAAGCGUCUGCCAAGGAUGUUUUCAUUGA
Molecule: ribosomal RNA, 381 nt
Filed under: uncultured eukaryote
Lineage: Eukaryota
Description: partial 18S ribosomal RNA
Rfam family: Eukaryotic small subunit ribosomal RNA
Source: RNAcentral